RNAcentral lists this ribosomal RNA (400 nucleotides) under Mycoplasmopsis synoviae. Its description in RNAcentral is "bacterial SSU rRNA". It matches the Rfam family "Bacterial small subunit ribosomal RNA", at positions 1013 to 1427 of the family's 1533-position model. The record is from RNAcentral. Lineage: Bacteria; Bacillati; Mycoplasmatota; Mycoplasmoidales; Metamycoplasmataceae.
UAUAGUGGAGGUUAACAGAAUGACAGAUGGUGCAUGGUUGUCGUCAGCUCGUGUCGUGAGAUGUUCGGUUAAGUCCUGCAACGAGCGCAACCCUUGUCCUUAGUUACUUUAUCUAAGGAGACUGCCCGAGUAAUUGGGAGGAAGGUGGGGACGACGUCAAAUCAUCAUGCCUCUUACGAGUGGGGCAACACACGUGCUACAAUGGACGAUACAAAGAGAAGCAAAAUAGUGAUAUCAAGCAAAUCUCAAAAAAUCGUUCUCAGUUCGGAUUGUAGUCUGCAACUCGACUACAUGAAGUCGGAAUCGCUAGUAAUCGUAGAUCAGCUACGCUACGGUGAAUACGUUCUCGGGUCUUGUACACACCGCCCGUCACACCAUGGGAGCUGGUAAUGCCCGAAGU